RNAcentral lists this ribosomal RNA (467 nucleotides) under uncultured bacterium. RNAcentral describes it as "partial 16S ribosomal RNA". It matches the Rfam family "Bacterial small subunit ribosomal RNA", at positions 29 to 507 of the family's 1533-position model. The record is from RNAcentral.
ACGAACGCUGGCGGCGUGCUUCACACAUGCCAGUCGCACGGAAAGGCCCUGCUUUUGUGGGGUGCUCGCGUGGCGAACGGGUGAGUAACACGUGAGUAACCUGCCCUUGACUUUGGGAUAACUUCAGGAAACUGGGGCUAAUACCGGAUAGGAGCUCCUGCUGCAUGGUGGGGGUUGGAAAGUUUCGGCGGUUGGGGAUGGACUCGCGGCUUAUCAGCUUGUUGGUGGGGUAGUGGCUUACCAAGGCUUUGACGGGUAGCCGGCCUGAGAGGGUGACCGGCCACAUUGGGACUGAGAUACGGCCCAGACUCCUACGGGAGGCAGCAGUGGGGAAUAUUGCACAAUGGGCGGAAGCCUGAUGCAGCAACGCCGCGUGCGGGAUGACGGCCUUCGGGUUGUAAACCGCUUUCGCCUGUGACGAAGCGUGAGUGACGGUAAUGUGUAAAGAAGCACCGGCUAACUACGUG